Molecule: ribosomal RNA, 497 nt
Filed under: uncultured bacterium
Lineage: Bacteria
Description: partial 16S ribosomal RNA
Rfam family: Bacterial small subunit ribosomal RNA
Source: RNAcentral
GAUGAACGCUGGCGGCGUGCCUAAUACAUGCAAGUCGAGCGAACGGACGAGAAGCUUGCUUCUCUGAUGUUAGCGGCGGACGGGUGAGUAAAACGUGGAUAACCUACCUAUAAGACUGGGAUAACUUCGGGAAACCGGAGCUAAUACCGGAUAAUAUUUUGAACCGCAUGGUUCAAAAGUGAAAGACGGUCUUGCUGUCACUUAUAGAUGGAUCCGCGCUGCAUUAGCUAGUUGGUAAGGUAACGGCUUACCAAGGCAACGAUGCAUAGCCGACCUGAGAGGGUGAUCGGCCACACUGGAACUGAGACACGGUCCAGAUUCCUACGGGAGGCAGCAGUAGGGAAUCUUCCGCAAUGGGCGAAAGCCUGACGGAGCAACGCCGCGUGAGUGAUGAAGGUCUUCGGAUCGUAAAACUCUGUUAUUAGGGAAGAACAUAUGUGUAAGUAACUGUGCACAUCUUGACGGUACCUAAUCAGAAAGCCACGGCUAACUACGUG